RNAcentral lists this transfer RNA (73 nucleotides) under Ahrensia sp. R2A130. It matches the Rfam family "tRNA". Rfam says of the family: Transfer RNA (tRNA) molecules are approximately 80 nucleotides in length. Their secondary structure includes four short double-helical elements and three loops (D, anti-codon, and T loops). Further hydrogen bonds mediate the characteristic L-shaped molecular structure. tRNAs have two regions of fundamental functional importance: the anti-codon, which is responsible for specific mRNA codon recognition, and the 3' end, to which the tRNAs corresponding amino acid is attached (by aminoacyl-tRNA synthetases). tRNAs cope with the degeneracy of the genetic code in two manners: having more than one tRNA (with a specific anti-codon) for a particular amino acid; and 'wobble' base-pairing, i.e. permitting non-standard base-pairing at the 3rd anti-codon position. The record is from Rfam by way of RNAcentral. Lineage: Bacteria; Pseudomonadati; Pseudomonadota; Alphaproteobacteria; Hyphomicrobiales; Ahrensiaceae.
GCGGCUGUAGCUCAGCUGGUAGAGCGCUGGCUUGUGGAGCCAGAUGUCGGGGGUUCGAGCCCCUCCAGCCGUA